Molecule: ribosomal RNA, 442 nt
Filed under: uncultured bacterium
Lineage: Bacteria
Description: partial 16S ribosomal RNA
Rfam family: Bacterial small subunit ribosomal RNA
Source: RNAcentral
CCUACGGGGUGCAGCAGUGGGGAAUAUUGGGCAAUGGGCGCAAGCCUGACCCAGCAACGCCGCGUGAAGGAAGAAGGCUUUCGGGUUGUAAACUUCUUUUAAGAGGGAAGAGCAGAAGACGGUACCUCUUGAAUAAGCCACGGCUAACUACGUGCCAGCAGCCGCGGUAAUACGUAGGUGGCAAGCGUUGUCCGGAUUUACUGGGUGUAAAGGGCGUGUAGCCGGGCUGACAAGUCAGUUGUGAAAUCCGGGGGCUCAACCCCCGAACUGCAUUUGAAACUGUUGGUCUUGAGUAGCGGAGUGGCAGGCGGAAGUCCUAGUGUAGCGGUGAAAUGCGUAGAUAGUAGGAGGAACACCAGUGGCGAAGGCGGCUUGCUGGACGACAACUGACGGUGAGGCGCGAAAGCGUGGGGAGCAAACAGGAUUAGAUACCCGAGUAGUC